GUGUGCUUUGGAUUUUUAUCUAUAUUUCUUUUUUUCGGUUGUUAAUAUGAAAACGAAAAAUAAUUACUGUAUCUACAUACAUGCCCCUCAACAAUUGUGAACCUACACACACGGAGCGUCUACAAAAGUCAACCUUGUGCCUUAAAAUAAAGCAAGGCAUUGUCUGUUGCCCACUACUACCAGCAGAUACCAGAUACCGGAGACAGACCAGAGACCAGGCCCAAAGACGACCAUGCUCGAUAUACCGUCCUUCAUCUAGUAACUCUAACCCUGAGAAUUUGGAAAUUGUUGAAACGACGCAUUUGCCAGCCAGAACAGAACAGAACAGAAAAGAACAGAGGAGCAACCCUCCCAAACCUAUGUAUGCGCAAAACCCAAACCCAAUUUCAAUUCCUAUCCAAAAACCCAACAACAAGUUCAAAAACUCUACGAUUUACAGAACAACAAUAAUAAGGCUCUCUCUGCCAUCCUGCUCGCUCCUUUGGAAAGCUACUACUAAAAAUGUAAUCAUUAUGCUUUAUCGUAAUAAUCAGCACCGACAGAGGCGGCGGCUGCGACUGAAGCAGCGGCAGAGGCAGCGGCAGCGACAUCGCAGCAGUCACAAUCGCAGUUAGGAGAAAAGUUUUUAUUCCCGUUAUGAAUAGGGUGUGAAAGGGUACAUAUGUCGGGUGUUGAAGCGGGCUCGGCUUAUGAAGGAAUAGUACUGCAAGUCAGUAAUUAUACGAAAAUCUAUUGUAAUUACGGGGGAACGGAAGAGGAAGAGAUGGAAUUAAAAAAAAUUUUGAUUUGAAAAGGAUAACAAAAAAAUAUAGUACUCUCUAUGGACUGCUAUGACGGAGGGCGGGCCUCUCUUGGGCUCUGGGAAAACGCACAUCUACAGGAAAUACAUACAUGAGGGUUUUGGACGAAGAAGCUUUCGUUCAUUCCGAUCUGUCUGUUUUGAUGGGUAUCAAAAUACUUAUUCCAUUCGCAGUGCAGGACACACACACACA
Long non-coding RNA from Drosophila pseudoobscura, 992 nucleotides. RefSeq lists it as uncharacterized. The record is from RefSeq and is a predicted model, not a curated record. The transcript has 2 exons. Lineage: Eukaryota; Metazoa; Arthropoda; Insecta; Diptera; Drosophilidae.